This 421-nucleotide small RNA is filed under the name Arabidopsis thaliana (thale cress). RNAcentral's name for it is "ATSL247030". Lineage: Eukaryota; Viridiplantae; Streptophyta; Magnoliopsida; Brassicales; Brassicaceae. The record is from RNAcentral.
AGAGAAAACUAAAAUUUAGUUUAAAGCAGUGCGAGAACUAUUUAAUUAUAUAAAGAUUUAAGAAACUAGACAAUAGACUUCUUUUGGAGAAGUAUAGGAGACUUUACAUAAUCCAAGAAGCUUUUCACAUACUUGGCAUCUCCAACUCCUUCAAUCUCAACUCUUCUGCUGAUGUCUUCUUUGCGAUCGUAACUGAUAAUAAAGAAGGAGCCAUCCAGAUAUAUUAGUGUGAAUAUGAAUUCGCUGGUGGAAUAUGAAGAGAAAACACGGACGAGUCAAAGAUUGUUUCAAGUACAGAUCAAUGAAGUAUUUGCUGCGGAUUAUAGAAGACCAGAGUUUCGAGACGACGAUGAGCUUGACUACGGGUUUUGACGGCAACUUCGCGAAAAUCUCUAUGAUCAGAUCUUGUAGAAGAUAAAAU